Molecule: ribosomal RNA, 728 nt
Filed under: Enterobacter sp. ICBR 190
Lineage: Bacteria; Pseudomonadati; Pseudomonadota; Gammaproteobacteria; Enterobacterales; Enterobacteriaceae
Description: bacterial SSU rRNA
Rfam family: Bacterial small subunit ribosomal RNA
Source: RNAcentral
CGGGCKABACACAUGCAGUCGAACGGUAGCACAGAGGAGCUUGCUCCUCGGGUGACGAGUGGCGGACGGGUGAGUAAUGUCUGGGAAACUGCCCGAUGGAGGGGGAUAACUACUGGAAACGGUAGCUAAUACCGCAUAACGUCGCAAGACCAAAGAGGGGGACCUUCGGGCCUCUUGCCAUCGGAUGUGCCCAGAUGGGAUUAGCUUGUUGGUGAGGUAAUGGCUCACCAAGGCGACGAUCCCUAGCUGGUCUGAGAGGAUGACCAGCCACACUGGAACUGAGACACGGUCCAGACUCCUACGGGAGGCAGCAGUGGGGAAUAUUGCACAAUGGGCGCAAGCCUGAUGCAGCCAUGCCGCGUGUGUGAAGAAGGCCUUCGGGUUGUAAAGCACUUUCAGCGGGGAGGAAGGCRAUACGGUUAAUAACCGUGUUGAUUGACGUUACCCGCAGAAGAAGCACCGGCUAACUCCGUGCCAGCAGCCGCGGUAAUACGGAGGGUGCAAGCGUUAAUCGGAAUUACUGGGCGUAAAGCGCACGCAGGCGGUCUGUCAAGUCGGAUGUGAAAUCCCCGGGCUCAACCUGGGAACUGCAUUCGAAACUGGCAGGCUUGAGUCUUGUAGAGGGGGGUAGAAUUCCAGGUGUAGCGGUGAAAUGCGUAGAGAUCUGGAGGAAUACCCGGGUGGCGAAKGGCGGCCCCCCUGGGAACAAAGAACUUGGACCGGCUCCA